This 67-nucleotide transfer RNA is filed under the name Cordylochernes scorpioides. RNAcentral describes it as "tRNA-Thr". Lineage: Eukaryota; Metazoa; Arthropoda; Arachnida; Pseudoscorpiones; Chernetidae. The record is from RNAcentral.
GUGCCUAGUGGACAUAGCAUCUGCCCGGUAAGCGGAACACUGUGGGUUCGAUUCCCAUCCCUAGACA